Papaver somniferum (opium poppy) is the source of this 1486-nucleotide long non-coding RNA. RefSeq lists it as uncharacterized. Lineage: Eukaryota; Viridiplantae; Streptophyta; Magnoliopsida; Ranunculales; Papaveraceae. The transcript is spliced from 3 exons. The record is from RefSeq and is a predicted model, not a curated record.
UGAGUUCUGAUUUUGUUAAGUAUAUUUGAAUACUGUGAUUUCUUGAUUUCUGAACUAGCUUUAUGCCACUGCAGGAGAGUUGGUGGUCAUAUUCUUCAACGUCGCAGUGCCUGGAGAUAUUUGCCAAUAUGAGCAUUUAUAUGGAAAGGAAAAAUGACAACCCAGCGUCAGCACCCUAUUUCCAUGGAUAUCGACACAUACAUCCAGAAAAAAUUGAGGAUUUAGGUAGGUAAUGUGAGACAUAGAUUAACAGUUCAACCAGUGCACCGGUAUAUAUAGACAGGUCAGAGAAUUUGAGUUGUUCCUCAAUGCUGAAAGGUUGCAUCUGUUGAGGCAAAGGGCAUAUGCAAAUGAAGCGAUUAAUUCAAACACUUUUCGUCAACUUCAAUUGCUAACUGCAGAAGAACGAUGUCACUUUCUCCAUGGGGGCAGUCAAAAGAACAGCUGUAUUAUAUUUUUCAUUUGGAAGAGGAGUUGCGUCACCUAAGAUGAGAGAAUAAAAGAAUAGAAUUAGACUGUGAUGACAUCAAGCAAUCGCAAAACAAUUCGAUAACUGUGUCGGCGACACGAAACAAGUGCAGAAUGAACGUGUGGGUAUGUGUGGUUCAACCUAGGAAAAAUAGUAGAAACAAGAACUGGAAAUAAACGUCUUUAUUACUGGUCAAAUUUAAAGCUAUUAAAACUUAUGUCCUAUAAAUGACAAAGGCAUGGGACCGAAGGGUGGGUUCUUUGGAUCCAGGACUGCAUUGGUUAUGCCUGCAUUUGACGACGGUCACGACGCCAUAGGAUAUGGUGUGGAUACGUUGUCAUUGUCCCUUGCAGCAUCCGCUUUCAUUAGGCUGGGCUUCUCCUCCGACCUUAUCGAAAAUGAUAGGCCCACGUCAGUACUCGAUGGAUAUUAAAUGUUGCUGCAAUCAUUAUUGACAAACCGAUGUCGUCUUGGAUGGUGCAGAUGAUGCUGUAAACAAGGUCAUCAAGAGGAUUUCAAAAAUGAUGUACAUGACGGGAUAUUCUGUUGAUAUGGCGUUUUAAAUUAAAUUAGUAAGGAUACAAGAAGACUCAAAUGCACUUCUUGAUCGACCAUAGGAUUAACUAAAGUUACUCUCUUCUAAGUCUUGGCCUCAAUAAUAUUCCACAGACAAGUGGAUGACCAACAAUCUAUUGUUUGUGAUUACAUCAUCUAAUGUUUUGCACAUGUCUUCUCAUCUAUUUUUUUAUCCAUUUUUUUUUCUGUUUUUGCUGACUGUUAGGUACCCAGAGAGUCCUUAUUCUAGCACUCGGAGGUGUAGUUCCCAGGGAGGGAGAAGGAAAAUGAGCUUUUUCAAAGAAAUGAUGGUAUGACACAUCAGGUGGGUGCAAAUUUCUUAUUAUGAACAAGAAAACUCAAAACAGAGGUGUGCUUUGAUACUCGGAUUAUGUAUAUUUAUGAUCAAAUUAGAAUGUUCCUUAAUUUAUGGAAGAUUGUUGAUAAGCCAACACAAGGUAA